Molecule: ribosomal RNA, 477 nt
Filed under: uncultured bacterium
Lineage: Bacteria
Description: partial 16S ribosomal RNA
Rfam family: Bacterial small subunit ribosomal RNA
Source: RNAcentral
AUUGAACGCUGGCGGCAUGCCUUACACAUGCAAGUCGAACGGUAACAGGUUAAGCUGACGAGUGGCGAACGGGUGAGUAAUGUAUCGGAACGUGCCCAGUCGUGGGGGAUAACUGCUCGAAAGAGCAGCUAAUACCGCAUACGACCUGAGGGUGAAAGCGGGGGAUCGCAAGACCUCGCGCGAUUGGAGCGGCCGAUAUCAGAUUAGGUAGUUGGUGAGGUAAAGGCUCACCAAGCCGACGAUCUGUAGCUGGUCUGAGAGGACGACCAGCCACACUGGAACUGAGACACGGCCCAGACUCCUACGGGAGGCAGCAGUGGGGAAUUUUGGACAAUGGGCGCAAGCCUGAUCCAGCCAUGCCGCGUGCGGGAAGAAGGCCUUCGGAUUGUAAACCGCUUUUGUCAGGGAAGAAAAGGUUCUGGCUAAUACCUGGGACUCAUGACGGUACCUGAAGAAUAAGCACCGGCUAACUACGUG